Molecule: long non-coding RNA, 962 nt
Organism: Armigeres subalbatus
Lineage: Eukaryota; Metazoa; Arthropoda; Insecta; Diptera; Culicidae
Exons: 3
Source: RefSeq, a predicted model, not a curated record
UCUAAGGUCGAGGCCAUUUGUUUUCUGGAUAAGGUGGGAGAGGGAAAGCAGCACAACUUUCGUGUCAGAUUAUCCAUCGUACCAAUAAGGUCACGAUUAUACACGAAGGGAGUCGGGAAAUGACGUAUUUCCGGUUGUGUCCGAGCCCACCUUCCUUAAUCUGAGGAUUCACGGACUCAAUCAUUUCGUCCGUGAUCAGCCAAUGAGUUGGAAGUGUCCGCGUUUGCUAAUUUGUUUUUCAAUCGUCUGAAUUAUAUUUCAAAAGUGUGCGUGAAUAUUUGUGUGCGGUAUGUUGGCAAAUGCCACCAUCUAGAUAGAUUGGCUAGAUAUUUCCCACCCGCAGCAAAUUAUCGCACCCAAGCGCGACGCAACCCCCCCCCAUACGGACGGAAUAUUCCUGCCUGGCGAUCAUCACCUGCCAGAAGCGGACCGAUCCGUCGCCAUAUCGGUCCAAGGGAAGGCCAGGGGGCCUCCACGUGGACGAGAUCCACCAGCCGGCAAGCAAUCGCCAUCGCGCCGCGUCGGCUUCAUUAAGAAGCGUCAUCGCCGGCGUCAACAAGCCGGGAGCGUCGACCCCACCGUCAGGUCAUCGACUGGGUCAGGUUACGUAAAACCCACAACAAACCGGUGAGUCAGCAAACUUUUUUUGAUUGGAGUGCGGCGUCCGAGGAGGGCGCCGCGGAGGAAACGUUUUUUGUGCCAGUCGUAGACUGAUGACCCAAAUGUGCUGCUAAAGCCAAACAUUUUUUCGCGAGUCGGAAAGCCUGCCGACCAACGCUUGGGUCUGCCAUCACGGACCCGUGAAAAUGCGUGCGUGAGCCCGUUUUGCCACCACCGAAAAAUCCCGUCGAGUAGUAGGAGCGCAGACUAGUCAGCAGCUGCGCUGCCUGGAGGAGUGACGUCACGUAAACAUUAGGCACAGAGCACAAGUGAGAAUAGAGUAGGAACUAGAAGAGAGAAAA